Molecule: long non-coding RNA, 1169 nt
Organism: Echinops telfairi (small Madagascar hedgehog)
Lineage: Eukaryota; Metazoa; Chordata; Mammalia; Afrosoricida; Tenrecidae
Exons: 2
Source: RefSeq, a predicted model, not a curated record
CGGACCUGGCCUGUCCACGGCGGCCGCAGGCGGCCUCGACAUCCCCGCGGAGGCGCAGCGGCCUUCCAGCUCCGUGCAGGUUGGAGAAGCCAUUCAAGCCAGAUGACCUGAGCCUGGUAUUUUCCUUGACUACCACCCUACAAUUCUUAAAGUAACAGGUGCCCGUCACUAGCAGGGUCUGGUUUUAUUCCAUAACAUGGGUGUGGGGGUGGGGUGUGUGUGUGUCCCCAGAUAGUGGAAAGCCAUGGGCUGAGGCUGGUGGGGACCCAGGAAUGUGACAUGCACUUUUAUGUGCAUUUUCCACAGUUACAUCUUGGAUAUUUACUGUAGGGAGGCUUCAAUAAGUUUGAGAGAGAACUGGAAUUAACUGGUUCCCUGAAUUUUUACAGCACCCCUUCCUUUUCUCCAUUUUACACACAUAGAAACAGGUAGAGUUGGCAAUUUGCCUAAUGCGCCUUCUCAUGAAGUUGCCCUUGGUGGGAGCUCACAGAUGUAACUUGGCCCUGUGAGACCUCAGACAAUCCCUUAAUGCCUGAGACUUGGUGUCCUGGUUUUGUUUGUUUUUCUUCCUUUGAAAAAACAAGGGAUAAACAUAGGCUGGGCUGCUUAGAAGGAAGAGAUGAAGUUAGGAACAUAACCACCUAGUUUCUGAUCACACUGGACCUAGGCAAGUUUUGUACAUUUAAGGACAAAGGCCCCAAAAACUCCACAUGGAGUUGCGUGUAUGCAGUCUGUUGCUGCUGUUGAGUCGGUACCAACCUAUAGCAGAUAGGAUCUGUAGGACCGGAGUGUUUUCAGAGGAGCUUCCAAGUUAUGGUCUUUAAAAAGCAGGCAGUCCCACAGUCUCCCAUGGAGCCAGUGUGGCUAGAACUGCCCCUGUGGGUUACUAAAGCUACAAAUCUUUACAGUGGCGAGCCUCCUGUUUCUCCAGCUGUUGGCUGUGGGGUUAACAGCCUACUGUGUGACCCACUGUGCCACCCAGGCUCCUUGUAUGUGGACUAGUAAGGUGAAAGUACUGCAGGUCGUGGAGAGUUUUCUGGAAACUAAAUUAGCAUCCUGGCAAUACGGGCUAGAGCAAUUUUAUUCCUGCAGGCCAACUGGUUGUUUGUUGACUGGAUUGUAAUGCCUCAUUUUCCCAGAACUUUGAAAUAAAGGUAUUUCAUAAUACA